GGACGAACGUUGGCGGCGUGCCUAAUACAUGCAAGUCAACUGAAGCAGAGGUAGCAAUAUCUUUGUGGAGGUGGCGCACGGGCGAGUAACACGUAGGUAAUCUGCCUUCAGGUCUGACAUAACUCCGGGAAACCGGAGCUAAUAGCAGAUGAUGCAGCGGCUUGACAUCAAGACAGUUGUUAAAGCUUCGGCGCCUGAAGAUGAGCCUGCGUCUGAUUAGCUAGUUGGCGGAGUAACAGCCCACCAAGGCGACGAUCAGUAACUGGUCUGAGAGGAUGAUCAGUCACACUGGAACUGAGACACGGUCCAGACUCCUACGGGAGGCAGCAGUAAGGAAUAUUGCUCAAUGGGGGAAACCCUGAAGCAGCAACGCCGUGUGAGGGAUGAAGGGCUUUUGCUUGUAAACCUCUGUAGUGAGGGAAAAAACUUCCACUCUGUGGAAUAUGAUGGUACCUCAAAAGUAAGCCCCGGCUAACUACGUGCCAGCAGCCGCGGUAAUACGUAGGGGGCAAACGUUGUCCGGAUUUACUGGGUGUAAAGGGUGCUCAGGCGGUUUUGUAAGUCAGAAGUGAAAUCCUAGGGCUUAACUCUGGAACUGCUUUUGAUACUGCAAGGCUUGAAUGUGGAAGAGGAGGAUGGAAUUUCUGGUGUAGCAGUGAAAUGCGUAGAUAUCAGAAAGAACACCAGUGGCGAAGGCGGUCCUCUGGUCCACUAUUGACGCUAAAGCACGAAAGCGUGGAGAGCAAACAGGAUUAGAUACCCUGGUAGUCCACGCCCUAAACGAUGUCAACUGGUUGUUGGGGAUUUACUUCCUCAGUAACGAAGCUAACGCGUGAAGUUGACCGCCUGGGGAGUACGGCCGCAAGGUUAAAACUC
RNAcentral lists this ribosomal RNA (876 nucleotides) under uncultured bacterium. RNAcentral describes it as "bacterial SSU rRNA". It matches the Rfam family "Bacterial small subunit ribosomal RNA", at positions 27 to 902 of the family's 1533-position model. The record is from RNAcentral.